AACGAACGCUGGCGGCAUGCCUAACACAUGCAAGUCGAACGAGACCUCCGGGCCUAGUGGCGCACGGGUGCGUAACGCGUGGGAACCUGCCCUUAGGUUCGGAAUCCUUCCCCGUAAGGGGUGCUAAUACCGGAUAAUGUCUUCGGACCAAAGAUUUCUCGCCUUUGGAUGGGCCCGCGUUGGAUUAGCUAGUUGGUAGUGUAAAAGCCUACCAAGGCGACGAUCCAUAGCUGGUCUGAGAGGAGGAUCAGCCACACUGGGACUGAGACACGGCCCAGACUCCUACGGAAGGCAGCAGUGGGGAAUAUUGGACAAGGGGCGAAGGCCUGAUCCAGCAAUGCCGGGUGAGUGAUGAAGGCCUUAGGGUUGUGAAGCUGUUUUACCCGAGACGAUAAUGACGGUACCGGGAGAAUAAGCACCGGCUAACUCCGUG
Molecule: ribosomal RNA, 433 nt
Filed under: uncultured bacterium
Lineage: Bacteria
Description: partial 16S ribosomal RNA
Rfam family: Bacterial small subunit ribosomal RNA
Source: RNAcentral